ACACACAGAACCCCUUUACCUCCUUCGUUUAUAUGUGCACACACCCACAAACCCUAAACAUACUUUGUUUACAGCCGCUCAAACACUCCUGUACACCCCCACCGAUUCCCCUUUUCAUCUCCGAUGAUAUCACCGGCGAGCGACAAACCUCCUUCACACCCAAGACACUCUCGUUCUCUCACAUUUCCGGCGACAAGCACCGCCGACGCACGGCGGUGGGAGGUGACGGAGAGAGAGAGACGGAAACAGGUGAGAAAGGGAGGCGGAGAGAGGAAGAGCCGACAUCGAUUUGCGGCCAGAAGCAGCGGCGACAGCGAAGUGGGUUCAGCUCUGUUUUGUUUCAGAUUCUCGUUCGAUUCCGGUUCGUUCAACCCGGGUUUGAUUCGGGGCUUGGUUCGAUCCGAUCAACAGCGGUCAACAGGAAGACGGUAUGAUUCGGGGUGACCUCGGUGUUCCAUCCUCCUAACCUCAUACACUCGUCGACACUUGGAUAAUCGGAAGACUUAGCAAUUAUGUUUUAACACCGUCAUCGUAUCUACGUUUUGAACGCACAAUGGAGUCUGGUGCUGAUCGGAUCCCCACCGGAUCUCCAUGGCAACGCGUGAGUUUUGGAGUUUGCAAUCUUAUCAUAUGAAGAAUGAUUUGGUUAAGCGCAACGUGGCGCUGUGUAUAAAGGUGGUAUUUGGUUUUGAAUAGACAAAUAAUAAAAAUAAAUUACAAUUGUGCUAAUCUUUAGAAACAGAAACUUAUGCUUACAUGUUCGAUGAACAAUUACUAUUUGAUGUUUAAUUUUAUUAGAAUAAUAUAAUUUGGUCAUUAUUUCA
Helianthus annuus (common sunflower) is the source of this 824-nucleotide RNA transcript. RefSeq lists it as uncharacterized. NCBI's taxonomy places the organism in Eukaryota, Viridiplantae, Streptophyta, Magnoliopsida, Asterales, Asteraceae. The record is from RefSeq and is a predicted model, not a curated record. The transcript is spliced from 3 exons.